RNAcentral lists this unclassified non-coding RNA (2072 nucleotides) under Leishmania donovani. RNAcentral's name for it is "gene:LdHU3.29.1890(CDS-product:hypothetical_prote in_conserved)". Lineage: Eukaryota; Euglenozoa; Kinetoplastea; Trypanosomatida; Trypanosomatidae. The record is from RNAcentral.
GUCGUCCUUCGCAGAGAUCGAUAUUAAGUACCGUAAGUUUAAAGGUAGGCCGAGGAGUCGUGCGAAGGGCUGGGGUGCUCGUCUGGCUAAGUGACGAACUGGCCCCCUCUGUCAAAUCGACUCUUCGCUCCCGCGCUUCGGUGUCAUUGUUACAGUGCUAGCAAGGCAGUCCUUCACCGCAUCGCGUACGACGCCAAACACGGCAGACCACCGCGAACUCGUUGACUCCAUCGUAUUCGCCGCCGCCCAAACAGUGAGCGCGGCCGCGGCGUCGAUUCGCACGGCAUUCACAAGGUGAGGCAGUAAUUGUGGCGGCAGCUGCCCGGACGUCAAGUCGCUAUGUUCUCGCGUAGUGCUUGGCGCCUGGUGGAGAAGACAGCCAUUGCAGCUGCCAGGCAUGAGGCCCCCAACAGCGACAAUGCGCGCCACGAGAGCCACCCCUCCGCCUCCAUGUCAUCAUCGGCUGCCACCGGUGCUUCCGCAGCCUCCUCUCCUGUCGCUACGCCUGCGUCGACGUCGUGGAUGGCGGGGGCGGCGUGGGCCAGCCUGGGCAACGAGUUCAAGAGUGUUGCGGAGGACAAGUUUUUGAAGCCCGUUCCGGACCAAUUCCUGACGCCUCGGGCCACGACCGACAUCCAACCCGCCGAGGAGCUGCUGUCAAAGCUGGUGGAGGAGAACGCGGAGCGGUACAAGGGCAUCGACGUUCGAGACCCAUCCUCGAUGGCCAUCUACGAGGGCGAACGGCCGCGGUGGAUGACGAUGGGCGGUCAAGUGCGUGCUGUAUCGGAGUUCAUCUCUGGCCACCUAUGCCACCACAUCUCGCUGCCCGAGUGGAAGGAUCUGUUCGACCUAGAGUACGCGGAGAUGGACCUGACGUACUGGCUGUACGUGCUGCAUGUGCACCUCGUCAGCCGCCGCGCGACGAGCAUCCCGAUCGAGAAGUUCAACCGCCGCCGCGAAGUGCUGGAAGAGCUGCUGGUGACUAUGUUUGAUGGCUGGGCGGCUACGUCCGAGGACAUCAUGGGCCGCCCGCCACUGAACAAGAUUAAGUACUACAUCCGCGACAUGUACUACGUGACCGCGGUUAACUUUGAGGAGGCGCUGUUGCACGAUGGGCCAGGGGCGGAUAUGAUGCUCAUGGGGUUCCUGAUGAAGUUCUGCCCGCUUCCGCGGCCGGAGGAUGUGCCGAUGUUCACGUACUACACCCUUGUCCAUUACGUCCGCUUUCACACGGCUCUCUUCGACCGCAUUCCGGACGAGGAGUUCGCCAAGGGGAACUUCAACUUCUUAAGCCCGACCGACCCGCUCAUCUUCAGCAAGUACAGCGAUAUCGCGUACGACGAGGUUAUUCGCGGCUGGACUGUGGAGGAGGUGGAGGAAGGUGCCGGUGAAGCGGUACCGGCUCAUUCGUAGCGUCGUUCUGCUGCCGCGCACUCGUGUGGUGCCGCUUCGUUUUCCCUUUCUGCAGCGCUAAGCACGCACAGUGUUGGGCUGCCUUGUGGUCGUUGUGCUGCCGGUGGCUGUGUGGAUGCCCCCCUCCCUCCCUCCCCCUCCCUUCUUUCGUAGUCGUUUGCUGUUCUGUUCCGUGGCUGCGUCCCACAGACCUCGCGUUUUUCCUUCCCCUUCACGCUCCCCCCUCCUCGAUGCACGUUCUCCUCCCGUUGAGGAGUCACACUCUUCUUCGUGUUGUUAGCGCUUCGCGACAGCACGAAGUUGAGAGGAAAAACGCGUCCGGUAGAGGCCUAUGAACGUGACGGUUGAGGGAUGCCAGAAGAGAAAUCAGGGACGGAGCAGUAAGGUAUUCGUGCCUGCUCGAGGCGUGUCGAUCGCUUCAAGGCGUGUUGUUGGGUGGUGGCGUGUCUGUAUGUGUGUGCCUCUCUCUGGCUGAGCAAGGACGCUUUCUCUCUUGCUCGCUCGGUGGUGAGUGCCCUUCUCUUGGCGAUCCAAAGCACUUGCGCGUGGGCAUCGUUCUCCACGCACGUCUGUGGUGGCUUCGGUAUUGCUGUCCGGUUGUGGGGUUGUCGACGUUCACAUUCUUUCCGUUUUUGGUGAUUCCCUUGCUAAAAAAAAAC